This 353-nucleotide ribosomal RNA is filed under the name uncultured bacterium. RNAcentral's name for it is "partial 16S ribosomal RNA". It matches the Rfam family "Bacterial small subunit ribosomal RNA", at positions 338 to 683 of the family's 1533-position model. The record is from RNAcentral.
CCUACGGGAGGCUGCAGUGGGGAAUAUUGCGCAAUGGGCGAAAGCCUGACGCAGCGACGCCGCGUGAAGGAUGAAGGUCUUCGGAUCGUAAACCACUGUCAGCAGGGAAGAACGGUCACUGUGCUAAUCAGCAGUGAAUUGACGGUACCUGCAAAGGAAGCACCGGCUAACUCCGUGCCAGCAGCCGCGGUAAUACGGAGGGUGCGAGCGUUAAUCGGAAUUACUGGGCGUAAAGCGCGCGUAGGCGGUAUGUCAAGUCAAGGGUGAAAUCCCCGCGCUCAACGUGGGAACUGCCUUUGAAAAUGGCAAACUGGGGUGUGUGGGAGGAUAGUGGAAAUCCAGGGGUAUGAGUG